This 476-nucleotide ribosomal RNA is filed under the name uncultured bacterium. RNAcentral describes it as "bacterial SSU rRNA". It matches the Rfam family "Bacterial small subunit ribosomal RNA", at positions 24 to 518 of the family's 1533-position model. The record is from RNAcentral.
UCAGGAUGAACGCUGGCGGCGUGCUUCAUACAUGCAAGUCGAACGAGAAUUGAUAGCUUGCUAUCAAGGAAAGUGGCGGACGGGUGAGUAAUACAUAGGGAAUCUGCCCUUAGCCGGGGGACAACAGUUGGAAACGACUGCUAAUACCGCAUAUGAGUUAAGUUGAGAUACUUAACUUGAAAACUCCGGUGGCUAAGGAUGAGCCUGUGCCUGAUUAGUUAGUUGGCGGGGUAAAGGCCCACCAAGGCGACGAUCAGUAGCUGGUUUGAGAGGAUGAUCAGCCACAAUGGGACUGAGACACGGCCCAUACUCCUACGGGAGGCAGCAGUAGGGAAUUUUGCGCAAUGGGCGAAAGCCUGACGCCAGCAACGCCGCGUGAUUGAUGAAGCCCUUAGGGGUGUAAAGAUCUGUCAGUAGGGACGAAAGAUGACGGUACCUACAGAGGAAGCACCGGCUAACUCCGUGCCAGCCGCGGC